RNAcentral lists this ribosomal RNA (462 nucleotides) under uncultured bacterium. RNAcentral describes it as "bacterial SSU rRNA". It matches the Rfam family "Bacterial small subunit ribosomal RNA", at positions 29 to 532 of the family's 1533-position model. The record is from RNAcentral.
AGCGAACGCUGGCGGCAGGCUUAACACAUGCAAGUCGAGCGGGCGUAGCAAUACGUCAGCGGCAGACGGGUGAGUAACGCGUGGGAACGUACCUUUUGGUUCGGAACAACACAGGGAAACUUGUGCUAAUACCGGAUAAGCCCUUACGGGGAAAGAUUUAUCGCCGAAAGAUCGGCCCGCGUCUGAUUAGCUAGUUGGUGAGGUAACGGCUCACCAAGGCGACGAUCAGUAGCUGGUCUGAGAGGAUGAUCAGCCACAUUGGGACUGAGACACGGCCCAAACUCCUACGGGAGGCAGCAGUGGGGAAUAUUGGACAAUGGGGGCAACCCUGAUCCAGCCAUGCCGCGUGAGUGAUGAAGGCCCUAGGGUUGUAAAGUCCUUUCGGCGGGGACGAUGAUGACGGUACCCGCAGAAGAAGCCCCGGCUAACUUCGUGCCAGCAGCCGCGGUAAGGCACGACUGU